This 470-nucleotide ribosomal RNA is filed under the name Microbacterium oxydans. RNAcentral's name for it is "bacterial SSU rRNA". It matches the Rfam family "Bacterial small subunit ribosomal RNA", at positions 30 to 513 of the family's 1533-position model. Lineage: Bacteria; Bacillati; Actinomycetota; Actinomycetes; Micrococcales; Microbacteriaceae. The record is from RNAcentral.
UGAACGCUGGCGGCGUGCUUAACACAUGCAAGUCGAACGGUGAACACGGAGCUUGCUCUGUGGGAUCAGUGGCGAACGGGUGAGUAACACGUGAGCAACCUGCCCCUGACUCUGGGAUAAGCGCUGGAAACGGCGUCUAAUACUGGAUAUGUGACGUGACCGCAUGGUCUGCGUCUGGAAAGAAUUUCGGUUGGGGAUGGGCUCGCGGCCUAUCAGCUUGUUGGUGAGGUAAUGGCUCACCAAGGCGUCGACGGGUAGCCGGCCUGAGAGGGCGACCGGCCACACUGGGACUGAGACACGGCCCAGACUCCUACGGGAGGCAGCAGUGGGGAAUAUUGGGCAAUGGGCGCAAGCCUGACCCAGCGACGCCGCGUGAGGGAUGAAGGCCUUCGGUUGUAAACCUCUUUCAGUAGGAAGAAGCGAAAGUGACGGUACCUAAAGAAGAAGCACCGGCUAACUAUGCGCCAGCA